CGCCUACUCCAACAAGGCCACAGCUUCUAAUAGUGCCACUUCCUGGGCCAAGCAUAUACAAACCAUCACACGUGCUUAUAAAAAGAGAAUGAGAUAGUUGCUCCUGAAGCCCAUGCUUGCCUUUCACUUGCUUAAUAGCCAAGGAAGGCAUUCAAGGCCUGAUCCUUCUACCUCUACCUCCCUAGUGCUGGGAUUGCAGGCAUGCACCACGGCUUGGUUUCAUGCAGUGGAGGCGCAGAACCCAGGGCAUCAGUAGUGCUAAGCAAGCGCUCUACCAAUGUAUUCCCCUCCCCACUAAGCUCUUUUGUUGGGCGGUUCACAUAUGAGAUCUAAUCAUGAUAACCAACAUGCUGAAGACCAGACCCUGCAGAAGGCUACACUGCAGCUUCAGACAACCCCAGAUUGCAGCGACUUUGGAGGACAGAUUGGCUUCUUGCCGAUGCCGCCUGUUCCUGACUGAGAUAAAAGCAUCAUCACUCUCAGCAUUAUUGUCUCAGGAGCCUUGUCACAGCCGCCACCUCACCAGCCCCAUGUGCCAAAGGGAGAACAGAGUGCCCUGGAAAACCUAUCGGAAGUGAUUCAGUGCUUGACCUAGGACGCACCACUUCUGUUCCCACUUCCCUGGCCCAGAAAUGAGUGUCUUCAGCGUUUCCUGCAGUGAUAAGACUAGCAUACCUCCACCACACACUCCUAGAGUAAGGAGUGACUUCCACCUACUGGGUAAAUGAGGGGCUCCUGACAGUCACAAGCCACAAGUCACAAGUGAUCAGAGCAGUCCCAAGCUUCAUCUGUCCCCCACCACCACAGCCUUGGUAGGGGAUGACCGAGAGGAUGAAGGCUCUCUGUCUCUCUGUGUCUCAUCGGCAGGGUAACAUUGGGAGUUAGGGCCGAGGGUAAGCCAUCCCUAGAAUUGCCGUUAAAAUUCAGGGCGUCUGAAGAUGUGCUGCCCUGGGAACGUGACAGUCAUUAUUACUCCACCAACUCUUCAGCUCUUUCUGGUACAUACUCCAGGGCACCGUGACCCCAGUUUAAAACUGCAUUCUGCCAGUGAAAGCUUGCCAGACACAUCUGGGUAGGGCUGUUAUUUAAAGCUCCUUCAGUCACUGCCUGCUACAAGUGAAUGUGGCUUCUAUGUGGCAUGUCUUACCACCUUCUGUAUCAACUAAAUAAUCCGUCCAAAGGCAGUUGGUUGGUCUAUGACAGGAGAGAGCCCCGGAGCACACCCUGUCCUUUCUGUGAGUUUCCCCAAAGGAAGUUCAGAGAGUGUAUAUUUUCUGGAAGUAAAGUUUAUUAUGUUGUUUGAAAAUGUUACUCCGAGCAACAGAUGUUAUUUUUGGAGUCUGUGCAACUUUAUUUUAGAGGGGGAAAAAAAAUGUCUUGGCCGGAGUUAAAAGCUUUCUGGCUGCAAGUGAUUGGUAUACGGGCUUCCCGUCUGGUUUCUUUAGUAGUGCCAUGACCGCUUGCAGGCAGGCAGAGGCAGCAAGCAGUCUACCAGUUUCCACCGGUUUCCAGACUUGGAGUGGUCACCACCCUGCUGUGACUAAUGUCCCCGGGGCUCAGAGAAGCUCCUCUCCCUAACCUUCACUUUGAAGAACCGCAGGGAAAAUGAUGGAGAAUCUGCUCCCGUCCUCGGAAUCAAUUUGGAGUCGGUACAGUUUGUUCCUCUUCAUUUGGCUGUGAAGAACAGCAGUGCGGAGCCUCAAAGGGAGAGCCGAGUAGUCCUCUGUGCUGGGAGGAUUAUUCACAAUUUCCUCUUAUGUGAAAAGUCUCGAAGUGGCACUCUGCCUUAAUGAAGCCAGCACUCUCCCAGAAAACUUCAAUAAGUCCUCUUUGGACGGUCUCCAGAGGACAAGGGUCAAACUUCCAAGAGAAACCUGAUUUCAUUUUUUGCUUUAUUCCCCUUUGCCUUUGACGCCCGUGCUCACGAUCACUCUCUUGUGGUUGGCUCAUUUCUGUGUCAAAGAAAGAAAAGGACACGUGAGUGCUUGGAGAUCAGGUGAGGUCCAAGCCCAGGGAACUGACAGUGUCUUCCAGCCCAGGACUGGAUCUAGAACACAGGGCAGGGUGAGGCUACUGUGUUCUGAUGCUGACUGGUUCUUUGGAAAGCCCCAAAUGCUGUGCUCUGGCUACCCAUGUCAUCGCGCUGUCUUCCCACUGCUUAGGCACCAGUUCCAUUUUGAUUUUUCCUGUCUGCGAUGGCUAAUCAUCAUGGUCAACUUUAUUGGCAUUAAAACCACCUAGGUCAUUAGAGAGGUGCUCUUGUAGAUGAUUCUGUGGGAAGGCGUUUGCCCUAAGGGUUAACUGAGAGGAAGGAGUCCUGCAUGUUGGCAGUUUACCAUCCAAUGGGCUUGGGAUCUGGACAGAAAGGAAAACUCAUCAGCUGAAUCCCCGAAUUCCCCAGCUUUGCCUCCUGUUGCCAUGGUGUGAGCUGCCUUCUCUGCUGUGGUCUCCCUGUUAGGAUGCUCCACCCAGGUACCUGGGAAGGACUCAGCACUGACUGAACCUGAGAAACCAUGAGCCGAAAUAAAAUUUUCUUACCUUAAGAAAUUUUUCACCAAGUAUUUUGUCACAGUACUAAGGAAAAAGAUUCAACUCGUAUCACGGGUCUUGCACUGGAUCCCUGGGUCUUUCCUUACUUUAGAUAUAAUAAUGGCCCUAUAUUACAUGGUGUCUAUUUGGAAAACCUACAGCCAUUCCCCUUUCACUGGAAGAUCUCGACCUGCAGGAGAUAUCAUCCAAUAAAUUACCUCUUUUCCUUAAAAGAAUUAUGCCUUACCCUUUCCUCAAAAUGUUCCUCCUUUCUAACCCAUUUUGUUUUAAAUUUCACAUUCACAUUGAAUCUUAGUUCUUUAAGAACAUUUUGCCGUUCCAGUCAGAUUUGUAUUUUCAUCUGAAAAUUAACACAGGCACCAUUUGCUGCUUAUAGUCAUGAGUGCGUGACUUGAAGUCACAGAAUGAAAUUAAAAAUCUUAAUUUGAAUUCUUUCCUCUCCCCUGUUGUCCCAGUCGGAGUUUCUCUUUCCUUUCUUUCUUUCUUUGCUUUGAAUAUCAUGCCCUCCUCAACAUGACCUGCUUGGCUUCUAUGCCCUCCGUCUGACACUAUUGACUUAGAACAAUGGAAAGCGUUCAUGAUCUCUGGCCAAGGACCAGCUUUGCUUUGGAGAGGGGUUCUGAAGAAGGGGUGCUCAGGAGCAGUGAAAAGAAGAGCUCAAGUCAAACCCUGGGUACAAGAUGACGACCUGUGUUCUGCCCAAGACAGCUUCUCUGGAGACCUUCAGACAGCUUAUCCAUAUAGCUCAUUACUCUUCACAGACCAAAGCUUGGUCUUUUAUUUACAUACUAAUUCAGUCAUUUACUCCUGGUUCACCCCAGGAAUCAUCAUCCCAUGACCCCAGCCCCUUGAUUCUUAGAAAAAGACAUCAAGCACUUUUUUUUUUAACAUUACAAAUGGAUUCAGAGAUGUGCAUGCAUUUGUAAUCACAGACAUUAAGAUAGCUGGGUGGGAUCCCAUCCUGAAAUUACCACUCACACCAUGCCUACGCCCAAACUAGCUCUGUCUGAGGCUAACCUUGAACUCAGGAAUUUGCCUAGCUUUGUAAAAACAAAUAAUAAAUUUUGUGGGAUCUUGCCCUGUGAUCACCACUCCCUAAAUCUCUUUAUCUCCUUCCUUAAUGUCUUUCUGAGAAGCUGGCUCACAGUGCAGCUGCCUCUGUUCUUUUAGGUCCAUGAAGCCCCUCAUACAAGUCAUAUUGCAUCCUUAUGUUUUGCAUAGUUGAGAAAUUAUAUAUUCUUGAACUCAUGUUUUCAGAGUUCUUUCCCACAGACUUAAGGGCUGUCCUGAAGGUCACAACGUUCUACCAUUCUGCUGAAACAUUAGGUGCAUCCCUGUCUCCUGGACUCAUACUAUUUCUGAUUAUCAUGGAGUCAUUAAUCUUGGCAGAGAGGACAUUCCCCAAUAACCUUGCCAGGGAGAACAUGUCCAAAAAGAGGAACAUGAAUUAUGUACAUUAUUAGACAAAUGAGCCUCAUGCCUAGCAACCAUCAACAUUUGUGAAGGCCUGAAUCUUACUGGCUCUGUUCCACAGAUGGGAAACCAUGUCAUACUGUCCCUUCCAGGCCCAUGUAGGACUUGGCAUCCUCUGCUCCAUUCUGUGUUAUUUCAACAAGAGGCAGAAUUAGGGGUCCACAUUUGCACCAGCAGGCUCAAGAGUAAUCAAUAAAUCACUUCAGCCAAGCUUCACAACUGUUGGCUUACCAAGGCCAUUAAGAUGCCACUAACAGGGGAAUUGAAACUGUUUGUGUGAGAUUCUGAGGUCUGAUGAGCGCUUGUCAGGAGGCCCAGGUUCAUUUCUUCACUGUGAUGCUCAGUAGUUGUGUGAUGAUGAGCAGAGCUCAUCUUUCUGAGGCUGUUGUCAGAUAAGAGUAGGGUAAAUAAUGUCUAAGAGUCCAUGAACAGAAGAUCAUAGAUGUAAAGUAAAUCUGAUUGUGACUCUAAAAAAGAGAUACCUUUGUAAUUUAUUUUCCAACCUUGAGAACAAAAAAGAUCUUUGCAGGCAUAGGGAAACACACUGUUUUGUCCACACUUCCUCGUGCCAAUAUUCCCAUCAAUCUUACAUUUUGUGGUCUUGCCUUGGGAGAGGUAAAGAAGGCACUGCCAACUCUCCUUCAGAGGUAAUGAGCUUGAGACUUAAGGGUUGAUGUAGCUAAGAUCACACACACCUUCUAUUAUAUUACUACCUUCUUUUUUCAUUGUGGAUAGAACCUCAACAAAGGUCCCCAAAGAAUGGGCAUUAAAGAGCUGUUUCCAUGGAAUCUGCACAGGUCUUCCAUCUGCUUUAACAAUGUCUUUUACCCCUUAAACAAAAACGAGAAUGUGGGGUAUAUGAGA
Molecule: long non-coding RNA, 4887 nt
Organism: Mus musculus (house mouse)
Lineage: Eukaryota; Metazoa; Chordata; Mammalia; Rodentia; Muridae
Product: predicted gene, 52923
Exons: 2
Source: RefSeq, a predicted model, not a curated record